GAUGAACGCUGGCGGCGUGCCUAAUACGUGCAAGUCGAGCGAACAGACGAGGAGCUUGCUCCUCUGACGUUAGCGGCGGACGGGUGAGUAACACGUGGAUAACCUACCUAUAAGACUGGGAUAACUUCGGGAAACCGGAGCUAAUACCGGAUAAUAUAUUGAACCGCAUGGUUCAAUAGUGAAAGACGGUUUUGCUGUCACUUAUAGAUGGAUCCGCGCCGCAUUAGCUAGUUGGUAAGGUAACGGCUUACCAAGGCAACGAUGCGUAGCCGACCUGAGAGGGUGAUCGGCCACACUGGAACUGAGACACGGUCCAGACUCCUACGGGAGGCAGCAGUAGGGAAUCUUCCGCAAUGGGCGAAAGCCUGACGGAGCAACGCCGCGUGAGUGAUGAAGGUCUUCGGAUCGUAAAACUCUGUUAUUAGGGAAGAACAAAUGUGUAAGUAACUAUGCACGUCUUGACGGUACCUAAUCAGAAAGCCACGGCUAACUACGUGC
Molecule: ribosomal RNA, 498 nt
Filed under: uncultured bacterium
Lineage: Bacteria
Description: partial 16S ribosomal RNA
Rfam family: Bacterial small subunit ribosomal RNA
Source: RNAcentral